Molecule: ribosomal RNA, 292 nt
Filed under: uncultured bacterium
Lineage: Bacteria
Description: partial 16S ribosomal RNA
Source: RNAcentral
GGACUACCCGGGUAUCUAAUCCUGUUUGAUCCCCACGCUUUCGCGCCUCAGCGUCAGUAUUAAGCCAGGUGGCUGCCUUCGCCAUUGACGUUCCUUCCGAUCUCUACGCAUUUCACCGCUACACCGGAAAUUCCGCCACCCUCUCUUAUACUCCAGUUAGGUCGUUUGCGAUGCACUUCCCAGGUUAAGCCCGGGGCUUUCACAUCACACUCACCUCACCGCCUACGCGCCCUUUACGCCCAGUAAAUCCGAUUAACGCUCGCACCCUCUGUAUUACCGCGGCUGCUGGCAC